RNAcentral lists this ribosomal RNA (325 nucleotides) under uncultured eukaryote. RNAcentral describes it as "partial 18S ribosomal RNA". It matches the Rfam family "Eukaryotic small subunit ribosomal RNA", at positions 1470 to 1796 of the family's 1831-position model. The record is from RNAcentral.
CCCUUAGAUGUUCUGGGCCGCACGCGCGCUACACUGAUGCAUUCAACGAGCCUAUCCUUGACCGACAGGUCCGGGUAAUCUUUGAAUCUGCAUCGUGACGGGGAUAGAUUAUUGCAAUUAUUAAUCUUCAACGAGGAAUGCCUAGUAGGCGCAAGUCAUCAGCUUGCGUCGGUUACGUCCCUGCCCUUUGUACACACCGCCCGUCGCUCCUACCGAUUGGGUGUGCUGGUGAAAUGUUCGGAUCGGCCGUUUGUCGCGGUUUCCGCGUCAUGUGGCUGAGAAGUUCAUUAAACCCUCCCACCUAGAGGAAGGAGAAGUCGUAACA